RNAcentral lists this transfer RNA (88 nucleotides) under Desulfuromonas sp. SDB. RNAcentral describes it as "tRNA-Ser". It matches the Rfam family "tRNA". From Rfam's summary of the family: Transfer RNA (tRNA) molecules are approximately 80 nucleotides in length. Their secondary structure includes four short double-helical elements and three loops (D, anti-codon, and T loops). RNAcentral also lists the same sequence under 2 other names. Lineage: Bacteria; Pseudomonadati; Thermodesulfobacteriota; Desulfuromonadia; Desulfuromonadales; Desulfuromonadaceae. The record is from RNAcentral.
GGAGAGGUGGCCGAGAGGCUUAAGGCACAGGUUUGCUAAACCUGCGUAGGAGUAUAUCCUACCGAGGGUUCGAAUCCCUCCCUCUCCG